RNAcentral lists this unclassified non-coding RNA (289 nucleotides) under Hevea brasiliensis (rubber tree). The record is from RNAcentral. Lineage: Eukaryota; Viridiplantae; Streptophyta; Magnoliopsida; Malpighiales; Euphorbiaceae.
AGACGAGAUAAUAUUAGCAUAGAAUUUAAUAUUUGCAUGCACAACAACAUCACAUUCUAUAUAGUCCUCGCAUCUUCAUAUGUUCAGCAACUAUUUUACAUCAUAAUUAAUUAGUUAUGCACAGUCACAAAGCUCGUAGCAAAAGUUCAGACAUUCAAAGCAAGCGAGGGCUACGCAGAGUUGUGAGAGAAUGAUAGAACACUGUUCAUUCAUGUAUGAACAAGUCUGGAUGAAGCACGUGCAACAGCACCGGUCAAGAAGCCUGCUGCAACAAUUGGAAGCAGCCUUA